Molecule: ribosomal RNA, 261 nt
Filed under: uncultured bacterium
Lineage: Bacteria
Description: partial 16S ribosomal RNA
Rfam family: Bacterial small subunit ribosomal RNA
Source: RNAcentral
AACGAACGCUGGCGGCGCGCCUAAUACAUGCAAGUCGAGCGAGAAGACGUAGCAAUACGUUUGUAAAGCGGCGAACGGGUGAGUAACACGUGGGGUAAUCUACCUUCGGGUGGGGAAGUAACGUCUCGAAGAGACGCGUAAUACCGCAUAAUGCAGCGGCACCUUAUGGUGGAAUAGUUGUUAAAGCGGGGGAGUCGCAAGACCUCGCGCCUGAAGAGGAGCCUGCGGCAGAUUAGCUAGUUGGUGAGGUAAUGGCUCACC